This 187-nucleotide small nuclear RNA is filed under the name Oncorhynchus mykiss (rainbow trout). Its description in RNAcentral is "U2 spliceosomal RNA (ENSOMYG00000052549.1)". It matches the Rfam family "U2 spliceosomal RNA". Rfam says of the family: U2 is a small nuclear RNA (snRNA) component of the spliceosome (involved in pre-mRNA splicing). Complementary binding between U2 snRNA (in an area lying towards the 5' end but 3' to hairpin I) and the branchpoint sequence (BPS) of the intron results the bulging out of an unpaired adenosine, on the BPS, which initiates a nucleophilic attack at the intronic 5' splice site, thus starting the first of two transesterification reactions that mediate splicing. The record is from RNAcentral. Lineage: Eukaryota; Metazoa; Chordata; Actinopteri; Salmoniformes; Salmonidae.
AUAUAUUUUGAUAAAAAAAUAAAAUAAAAAAAAAUCUGUUCUUAUCAGUUUAAUAUCUGAUACGUCCCCCAUCGGGGGACUACAUAUUAAAUGGAUUUUUCGAACAGGGAGUCGGAAAUGGGGCUUGCUCCGUCCGCUCCGCGCAUCGACCCGCUAUUGCAGUACCUCCGGGAACGGUGCAACACUU